UUGUACCCAUUAGGUUAUUCUCAUGUCUUCCUUCAGGCAUACCUGAAGACAGCAUGUGCCUGCAAUGCUGCUGUGUCAAUUUAGGCAAACAAGCAACACCUGAAGCCACCCUGACUGUCUUCUUUAAACUCAUCAGUUCUCCUACAGAGAAAGGUUAUCUUAAAUUGAAGUCAAAUCAUCUGAUGAAACAACGCAAAUCUAGUAGGAGGGACCUCAGCAGUUAUGAUCAAACUGAGCUAGAAGUAUUGAAGAAAAAACAGACGUUGAGAGGAAACCCCACACACUCCAAGCCUGAUCUCCCAGUUCAAUGGCCUGAGAAAAUCUGA
This 326-nucleotide long non-coding RNA is filed under the name Phasianus colchicus (ring-necked pheasant). Its description in RNAcentral is "lncRNA (ENSPCLG00000002439.1)". Lineage: Eukaryota; Metazoa; Chordata; Aves; Galliformes; Phasianidae. The record is from RNAcentral.